Molecule: transfer RNA, 71 nt
Filed under: Nocardioides aromaticivorans
Lineage: Bacteria; Bacillati; Actinomycetota; Actinomycetes; Propionibacteriales; Nocardioidaceae
Also listed under: 1 other name
Description: tRNA-Cys
Rfam family: tRNA
About the family: Transfer RNA (tRNA) molecules are approximately 80 nucleotides in length.
Source: RNAcentral
CGCCCCUUGGCCGAGUGGUGAGGCACGCGGCUGCAACCCGCGCAACGCCGGUUCGAGUCCGGCAGGGGCGU